UUAUUCUUAGGGCAAUUAGACACAGAAACUGAGCAUUCUCGGGAGUUCAUAUAAACCCAUAAAUGUGACUAAACUAGCUCAAACUAACAAGGAUCACAGAAAAGUGGACCACCUGGAGCAGGGUUCGAACCAUUCACCCUUCAUACAGGAUGAUGCACUUCAAUACCAGAGCCACACGUGAUAGUAAUUGUGUUUGUUCUGUCUAUAGGCAUUUAAAUUAUUGUUUUAUAUUCUAUAUCUAGAUGGGUUGGUCAUCUCAAUCAAUCUUUUAUGUUCUCUGAAUGGCAUCCUGAGCUAAAAUAACUUUUCCAGGCAUUGCUUACGAUAAAUCUGAGGCCAGGUGGGACCCAACUGACAUUUCAGCUAAGAGUCUGAUACCUAAGAGAGCCGACCAGUAAGACACCUGUAGUGGAUUAAAGAUAACCACAGAUUCUUUGCUUCUCCUCCCAUCAAGAAGAUGGAGUGUGUGUCCAUCCCCUGGAACCUGAGCUUGCUUGACCAAUAGAAUUCAGAGGCAAUGAUGUUCCAGAGCUUCUAAGGUUAAGUCAUAGAAGCCUCGCAGAUUCCACCAUGACUCUUAGAACACUCGAUCUGGGAAAAGCCAAUGACCACAUAAGGCUGACUGCUCUGAGGCUGCCAUCCUGUGAGGCAGCCCAGCUAGAUGAGCAAAGAUGUCAUGUGGAGAGAGAACAAUGGCCAACCAGCCCAAGCGGCUCCAGCCAUUCCGACCCAGGCGCCAGACAUGGAGGUGAAGAAGGCAUCUCGGACAUUUCAGCUCCAGCAGACGUGCUGUGGAGAAAAACUGAGACAUCCAACCCACAGCCAAGAUCACAGCCUCAGACAUAUGGCCCCAGUUAAACCAUCCCAACCACCUGCAGCCGUCUGAGCCGUCCAAUCAUCAUGGAACAGAGAUGAGCUGUUCCUACUGGGCCCUAUCCAAUUCCUGACCCAAAAGAUCCCAGCCAUAAUCAAUGUUGUUUAAUGCCGCUUAGUUUAGGGUUGUUUGUUACUCAGAGAUUGAAAGCCAGAAAACCGGCCCCAGCUGAACAGUGCCUUAAGAAGUUGAUUGCUGCCUGGAUGGGCAGGAACUCAUAUGUACCUUAAAUAUCCACCCAGAUCCAACGUGAAAAUGGACGUUUCCUUCACUUGCAGAUGAUUACACACUUCUGCUGGUUAUUCGUAUCUUGUCUUGGUCUUUUUAUUUUAUUAUUUAUAUACCCGAAGACAAAGGCCAAACUUUGUUCCAAGGACAGGUGUUCCCUUGGGGGUGGGAGGAGGGCAGGAAAACUCCACGAUUUAAAAGAAGAAAAGGUGGAAACGCUGGUAAAUCAGAAUUGAAUAGGUUUCGCUCUUGCAAGACUUCUCAAAGCUGCUGGCAUGUAAAUGUGCACAGUGACUCGCCAAGAAGGAAACAGGAGAUGGGGCACCUUCCAAGUCGAUUAGAUCCUGAAGAGGUUAUUGGGUCCCAUGUACCAUCUUGCAGGAUUAGCAUUUCCCUGAAUGACAGCCCUGGACAGAGCUCUGAGCCACUCGUCAGCAUCGCUGUUUCUGCCUUGGUUUGCAGCUGCUCAGCAGGCAGACGCGCGCACGUUGUUCUGGAAGUACAACACACAGCAGUGCACUCUGGGAGAUGCACAUAUAACAGAGCCUUCUGGAGGAAGCCAGAGAAGGCCUUCAGUGGGUGCACACAGACCAGGCCCCAUCCCUGUCACACCUACCUCUCUUCUGAUUGUUUAGGCCUCGGGAGACUGGGUGAUGACCAUCCAUCCACACAGUUGAGUGCUCCUGAGGACUGUCGGGACACUGGAAGCCCUCUGGUUUACCUCAUAUCCCGGUACCUGCAGUGCGCGACCAGGUGGCGGCCUCCCCUGGGCAUCUCAUCUGCAUUUCAGGCAGGAAGAACGAGAGAGGGGAAAAAAUGGAGAAAAAAGGUUCUUGUCAGCUACGUCUGCCCCCUUUCAUGAGGAAAUAAAACAGUAUCUAUCAGUUUUAAAAAAUCCACCCAGUGGGCUGUCCUUACAGCCAUUGGCCAAGACUGAGUCCUGAGGCCCCAGAGUAAAGGAAUCUGUGCUGGGAAGGGGGGCACGUGGCUGCCCUCUCAAAAUACGGUAAGGAAGGAAGAAUCGACGUAAGAUCAGCAACCGCAAUGUCUGACGUUGAUCAAAACGAAAAGACCGGGCCUGUCUUUAUUCACAAAAAUAAAUUUUAAAAGUUCUAAACAGAUGCGUUUGGG
RNAcentral lists this long non-coding RNA (2233 nucleotides) under Equus caballus (horse). RNAcentral describes it as "lncRNA (ENSECAG00000048146.1)". The record is from RNAcentral. Lineage: Eukaryota; Metazoa; Chordata; Mammalia; Perissodactyla; Equidae.